Planococcus citri (citrus mealybug) is the source of this 1041-nucleotide long non-coding RNA. RefSeq lists it as uncharacterized. NCBI's taxonomy places the organism in Eukaryota, Metazoa, Arthropoda, Insecta, Hemiptera, Pseudococcidae. The transcript is spliced from 3 exons. The record is from RefSeq and is a predicted model, not a curated record.
UUAUGGGUAGAUAUGCUUUAAAUUUCUCAAAAUUUCUGUUUACUUUAUCAAACCCCCUCACGCCGCGCCGCGCGCACCUCUCGAUCAACGCAGUAACGCGUUUUGUAUUACUCCGCCAUUAUUUCAGUCGUUGGGAAGCUUUCUUACGUUGCGCGACUUGCGCUUAAUAUGUGCUUAAAUUUUAUUAAUUAAUACGAUAUUUCGCAUUUAUACUUUUUAAAAUGUUUCAUAAAUUCGAUUUUAAAUAUUAUUACGCUCGAUUAUUCCGUAAUUUCUUCGCGAACGUGUUUGUUUUUGCGGAACUAUGUUUUCAGUUUUUUUGAUCGUGACCGAGCCGUUAACGAUCAUUUUGGCAGUUAGCUUUUCAAGUCUUAUACCUUGCAAGUACGUCUCCGAGUUUUCCGUUAUUAAUUCGAGUUAUUCGCGUAAUUUUAUUAAUAUUUUUGGGUGAUUUUGUGUAGUUCAGUGCCUCGAAGUGAACUAAAGUAUACGAGGUUCGAUUUUGUUCUCUUUGUCGGUGUUUUUGAUUGAAGAAGUGCGUAUUCGUUUGCAACUACGACGGUUUAUUUCUCGCGAAUUUUUUCUCGUAAAUUUCAUCGGAUCUUCUAUAGUUUCCGGUAGUUUUCGACGGCGUUCUUAGUGAUCUUGUGGUAUUCGAUGCGUAAAUACGAUAUGUUUUCCGGCGCCCAGUGGUCUACCAGUUAAAAGCUGUUUCGUAUAAUUAAUGUCCAGAUUUUCUACGGUUAAUCGGUUUGUAUUGUACCGAGUCCCAACUUUACGAUGAAGAAUAUUUUGAGAUCGGAUACUGUCUACUUGAACAUACAAAUUCCAUACAUUUGGAAGUACGAGUGAUUAUGAAAGUUAUUGGAAGUACCUGCUUAUAUAAUUGGUAAAAUUACGAGAAUUAUUUUAAGAAAAAUUCAACGUUCAUUGGUAAGUGAUUUUUUUCAAUUUUUAUAUUCGGACUUGCGAAGGUAUGUGCUUUCUUUUCGUAAUUUGUAAGCAAAAUUAACACCCUUUACCGAUUGCAAAAUAUGCCGA